Molecule: ribosomal RNA, 545 nt
Filed under: Microbacterium sp. F6
Lineage: Bacteria; Bacillati; Actinomycetota; Actinomycetes; Micrococcales; Microbacteriaceae
Description: bacterial SSU rRNA
Rfam family: Bacterial small subunit ribosomal RNA
Source: RNAcentral
GGGAAUAUUGCACAAUGGGCGAAAGCCUGAUGCAGCAACGCCCGCGUGAGGGAUGACGGCCUUCGGGUUGUAAACCUCUUUUAGCAGGGAAGAAGCGAAAGUGACGGUACCUGCAGAAAAAGCGCCGGCUAACUACGUGCCAGCAGCCGCGGUAAUACGUAGGGCGCAAGCGUUAUCCGGAAUUAUUGGGCGUAAAGAGCUCGUAGGCGGUUUGUCGCGUCUGCUGUGAAAUCCCGAGGCUCAACCUCGGGCCUGCAGUGGGUACGGGCAGACUAGAGUGCGGUAGGGGAGAUUGGAAUUCCUGGUGUAGCGGUGGAAUGCGCAGAUAUCAGGAGGAACACCGAUGGCGAAGGCAGAUCUCUGGGCCGUAACUGACGCUGAGGAGCGAAAGGGUGGGGAGCAAACAGGCUUAGAUACCCUGGUAGUCCACCCCGUAAACGUUGGGAACUAAUUGUGGGGUCCAUUCCACGGAUUCCGUGACGCAACUAACGCAUUAAGUUCCCCGCCUGGGGAGUACCGGCCGCAAGGCUAAAACUNAAAUGAAU